GUCUUUUUGAGUUAUUUUUAAAGUCUGACCUGCCCACUGAGUUUUAAAUGGCCGCAGUAUUUUAACUGUGCAAAGGUAGCAUAAUCAUUAGUCUUUUAAUUGAAGGCUGGUAUGAACGGUUGGACGAGGUAUAAGCUGUUUCAUAUAAAAUUAUAAUAGAAUUUUAUAUUUUAGUUAAAAAGCUAAAAUAUAAUUAAAAGACGAGAAGACCCUAUAAAUCUUUAUACUUUAGAUAAUUUAAAUUUUUUGGGUUUAUUUUAUUUUUAUUAUAUUGAGUAUUUUGUUGGGGUGAUAUUAAAAUUUAAUGAACUUUUAAUUGUGUUUAAAUCAUUAAUUUAUGAAUUGUUGAUCCAUUAAUAGUGAUUAUAAGAUUAAGUUACUUUAGGGAUAACAGCGUAAUUUUUUUGGAGAGUUCAUAUCGAUAAAAAAGUUUGCGACCUCGAUGUUGGAUUAAGAUAUAAUUUUAGGUGUAGUCGCUUAAAUGUUAAGUCUGUUCGACUUUUAAAUUCUU
This 511-nucleotide ribosomal RNA is filed under the name Dacus punctatifrons. Its description in RNAcentral is "partial 16S ribosomal RNA". The stretch from base 387 to 511 matches the Rfam family "Bacterial large subunit ribosomal RNA", at positions 2473 to 2597 of the family's 2925-position model. Lineage: Eukaryota; Metazoa; Arthropoda; Insecta; Diptera; Tephritidae. The record is from RNAcentral.